Siniperca chuatsi (mandarin fish) is the source of this 1183-nucleotide long non-coding RNA. RefSeq lists it as uncharacterized. The transcript is spliced from 3 exons. NCBI's taxonomy places the organism in Eukaryota, Metazoa, Chordata, Actinopteri, Centrarchiformes, Sinipercidae. The record is from RefSeq and is a predicted model, not a curated record.
CUUUUUGUAGGUUAUGCAUAUAGAAAAGCGUGUGUAAGUCAUGUAUUUGAUACAUGCAUUGAUACUUUUUGAUGGGAACAUACACUUAGAUCUGUGAACGUUUUUAGUGUUCAGUCUUUUUUUUAUUCAGUACUGAUCUGUACCUAUAUGCUCAAUAUGUAUUGGGUUUUUUUUUUUUGGAUGCGAAUAUAAAUCUGUUGUCUAAACGUUUACUGAUUGAAUAAUAUAUUACACCACAAUAUAACAAUAUUAUAAGUUGUUAACUUUGUUGGUAAAAUGACACAUUGCUUUACUUUAUACCUUAUUUCUUUAGAUGACCUACAUAAUUAACAACAUCAUUUCAGAGUUAAUUUGACUGGCCCCUCUAAAACAGCCAGCCCCAUUCUGACUCCUGUGAUUUAAAUGGGCUAGAAUGGCCACUGAUGCUUUCAGAUUGGCUUGACCAAUCCGGAAGUGGGCCGGCUUACAUUGUGAUCGGAUCUCAGUCAGUUGUAAAAGCAAUCUGUUCUCCAAAAAACAAAACACCUUUCAUAUAUGGGAUGAGUUCUGCCUCUUUCACUUAGCUCUGCAAUUUCCCAUCUGUCACACAGGCUAUUGUAAUGUCUGUCAAAAUACAACUACUAUGUGAUUAAAGCAAUGUCUGACUCAGUCACGUAUCAGUGAAUGUAAUCCAGGGUUUUGCAGAAACAUUACUAGUGAAGUUGUGCUUUGAGUUCAUUAACCACCUGUAGUUGUCAUAACAGCAGGAUCGAUUUUGUUUUUCUCCAAACUGAGAGGUGCUGUGUGCAGUUUCUGUGUUCUGUUCACAAUACAGUCAGAUAGGAUCAAUAAUCACAAUGCGGUCAGACAGGAUCAGUAAACACAUUAUAGCCCUCCUCAUUCUUGUCUCUCUUGUGAUUAGUGGAGGUUUGUCCACAUCUUUGCUGAGCAGCAGAGCUGAUGAAGGUACAGCAGAGUUAGAGCUGCUCUUUGACCCCGGACUCCUCAAACAGCAUGUUAGCCUUACUGAUGAUUACGGUGAGAGGCCCCUCCCUCCUCCUCUGCCACCCGACACUGAAGAUCCGUAUCAACCCAACCUGGAGGGUGAAUACUACUAACAUAAACACUAAACUGAUCUGCCCUGCAUGGAUGAUCACCUUCAGCAAAACCAACAGCAUGUUCAAAUAAAAACAUGAAAAAACAA